CUGAACCAGCCAAGUAGCGUGAAGGAUGACUGCCCUAUGGGUUGUAAACUUCUUUUAUAAAGGAAUAAAGUCGGGUAUGCAUACCCGUUUGCAUGUACUUUAUGAAUAAGGAUCGGCUAACUCCGUGCCAGCAGCCGCGGUAAUGCGGAGGAUCCGAGCGUUAUCCGGAUUUAUUGGGUUUAAAGGGAGCGUAGAUGGAUGUUUAAGUCAGUUGUGAAAGUUUGCGG
Molecule: ribosomal RNA, 227 nt
Filed under: uncultured bacterium
Lineage: Bacteria
Description: partial 16S ribosomal RNA
Rfam family: Bacterial small subunit ribosomal RNA
Source: RNAcentral